Molecule: non-coding RNA, 180 nt
Filed under: Methylobacter sp.
Lineage: Bacteria; Pseudomonadati; Pseudomonadota; Gammaproteobacteria; Methylococcales; Methylococcaceae
Also listed under: 2 other names
Description: 6S RNA
Rfam family: 6S / SsrS RNA
About the family: E. coli 6S RNA was the first non coding RNA to be sequenced, but its function was unknown until recently.
Source: RNAcentral
CAUCUCCUGCAGCGUUCGAGAGUGUACUGGGUGUUUCCUGAACCUAUUUUUACCCAGGGGGCAGAUUACGGUGAUGGUGUGCAUGCCCGCUCUAUACGGGAAGCCUGAUUUACCGAUCACGUCCCCACUUGAACCGUUGGUUCAAGGACGAAAGUGCAUUACGGCGCAGGCGGGAGAUGC